Molecule: ribosomal RNA, 293 nt
Filed under: uncultured bacterium
Lineage: Bacteria
Description: partial 16S ribosomal RNA
Rfam family: Bacterial small subunit ribosomal RNA
Source: RNAcentral
GGAUUAGAUACCCUGGUAGUCCACACCGUAAACGAUGUCUAUUAGCUGUGUGUGUAUUUAAUACGUGCGUAGCGCAGCCAACGCGAUAAAUAGACCGCCUGGGGAGUACGGCCGCAAGGUUAAAACUCAAAUGAAUUGACGGGGGCCCGCACAAGCGGUGGAGCAUGUGGUUUAAUUCGAUGCAACGCGAAGAACCUUACCUACACUUGACAUUCAGAGAACUUACCAGAGAUGGUUUGGUGCCUUCGGGAGCUCUGGGACAGGUGCUGCAUGGCUGUCGUCAGCUCGUGCCG